AAAAAUAUUAAAAAUUAGGUAGUAACGGAGUUUCUGAAACCUAAAGGACUUGGCGGUAUUUUAAAUAAUUGGAGGAACUUGUUAUUUAAUUGAAGUUACACAACAUAUCUUUCCUUAUUUUUGCUUGUAUAUCAUUGUUUUAAGAUAACAUUUUCUAAUAUAGUCUAAAUCAAGUUUGUUCAAAAAAUCAAAUCAAGGCGCAGCAUAAUAAGGUUAUAAUGAGUUACAAUGAAACUUAUUCAAAACGGAAAUAAAAAGUAAAAUAUAUUGAAGGUGGAUUCAAAAAUAAUAAAAAAUCAAAAAGUUUUUAUGAAUAAUAAUUUAAAAUAUGC
This 332-nucleotide ribosomal RNA is filed under the name Heterometrus petersii. Its description in RNAcentral is "partial small subunit ribosomal RNA". Lineage: Eukaryota; Metazoa; Arthropoda; Arachnida; Scorpiones; Scorpionidae. The record is from RNAcentral.